AGAUUUUCUCACUAGAAGAACACACGAGCCUAUGAAAAUGACUUAUGAGAUUGCUAGCUCUAAUAGAUGAGCUUGAAGCAUUGUGACCUGAAUUUAAACUCCUUGGGAACAAAUUGAACAAUUGGAGAGCUCGAGAGAAAACUGGAAGAGCAGGAGCAGAACUCAAAGAACUUGCUUUAACAAAAGGUCACUUAUUAAUCGAUUAGAAGAAGUAAAUCCUGGGAAGUUGAAAAAUGAAGAAAAUCUAGCUUU
Arachis ipaensis is the source of this 252-nucleotide non-coding RNA. NCBI's taxonomy places the organism in Eukaryota, Viridiplantae, Streptophyta, Magnoliopsida, Fabales, Fabaceae. The record is from RefSeq and is a predicted model, not a curated record.